Molecule: non-coding RNA, 230 nt
Filed under: Halobacillus halophilus
Lineage: Bacteria; Bacillati; Bacillota; Bacilli; Caryophanales; Bacillaceae
Description: T-box sequence
Rfam family: T-box leader
About the family: Uncharged tRNA acts as the effector for transcription antitermination of genes in the T-box leader family.
Source: RNAcentral
UGAAAUGCCAUGACAGGGAAGAGUACAUGGACAUAUCCUUCAGAGAGGAAAACGGAUGGUGAGAGUUUUCCAGGAUCUAUGUUGGUGGAAGGUCGCCCUUGGAGCAGCUUCUUUGAACGAAAAGUAGAAGGAGCCGGUUAGAAGCCGUUAUUUUUUUAAGUGUACAGAUAUGCACAGCUUGUCUGUAAAUUAAGGUGGUACCACGGAAUUAGAUCUCUUUCGUCCUUUUG